This 369-nucleotide RNase P RNA is filed under the name Spermothamnion repens. Its description in RNAcentral is "ribonuclease P RNA". It matches the Rfam family "Bacterial RNase P class A", at positions 43 to 352 of the family's 367-position model. From Rfam's summary of the family: Ribonuclease P (RNase P) is a ubiquitous endoribonuclease, found in archaea, bacteria and eukarya as well as chloroplasts and mitochondria. Its best characterised activity is the generation of mature 5'-ends of tRNAs by cleaving the 5'-leader elements of precursor-tRNAs. Cellular RNase Ps are ribonucleoproteins. The record is from RNAcentral. Lineage: Eukaryota; Rhodophyta; Florideophyceae; Ceramiales; Ceramiaceae.
GAGGAAAGUCCGGGCUCUAUCUGGAGAAAUAUAGAUGUAUGAAAAACAGUGUAGGUAACUAUGAGGAAAGUGCCACAGAAAUAAACCGCCUACUUAUAUUACUUAUAUUCAGCAGGUAAGGGUGCAAUGGUGCGGUAAAAGCGUACCAGAAAUAUUAUUAAGAUAUUUGCUAGGUAAACCCCGUAUUAGAGCAAAGUAACUUAUCUAUAAAGUAUAAAAUAAGAAUACCUUCUCUCUUGAGGAUUCUAUAAUAUUAUAGUUUUAGUUGAUUGUAUACUGCAUGAAGUAAGAUCAUGAUCUACUUAAGAUGAAUAAUUACCCUCUUUAUAUGAUAUUUUUUCAUAUAAAUGAGAACAAAACCCGGCUUAU